AGCCGUGUGAUAAGCACAUAGCGAACUAUUCUUUCGCCUUUUACUAAAGAAUACCGUGUGCUUGUUACUUAAAAGCGGCAUACGCAAUUUUUAGAAGGGUCUUUCUUAUUGAAAGACU
Molecule: non-coding RNA, 118 nt
Organism: Cajanus cajan (pigeon pea)
Lineage: Eukaryota; Viridiplantae; Streptophyta; Magnoliopsida; Fabales; Fabaceae
Source: Rfam